AGAGUUUGAUCAUGGCUCAGAACGAACGCUGGCGGCGCGUUUUAAGCAUGCAAGUCGAGCGGCAAGGGUAGCAAUACCCCUAGAGCGGCGGACGGGUGAGUAACACGUGGACAACCUGCCCUUUAGGUGAGGGAUAGCCCAGGGAAACCUGGAUUAAUACCUUAUAAGACCACUGAUAGGAGUAUGAGUGGGGAAAGGUGCUACGGCGCCGCCUGAGGAUGGAUCUGCGUCCCAUUAGCUAGAUGGUAGGGUAAAGGCCUACCAUGGCGACGAUGGGUAGCCGGCCUGAGAGGGUGAACGGCCACACUGGAACUGAGAGACGGUCCAGACUCCUACGGGAGGCAGCAGCUAAGAAUCUUCCGCAAUGGGCGCAAGCCUGACGGAGCGACGCCGCGUGAACGAUGAAGGCCGCAAGGUUGUAAAGUUCUUUUCGGGAAGGAGAAUAAGGGGAGCAGGCAAUGGCUUUCCGAUGCCGUGAAUCCCGGAAUAAGCCCCGGCUAACUACGUGCCAGCAGCCGCGGUAAUACGUAGGGGGCGAGCGUUGUCCGGAAUGACUGGGCGUAAAGGGCGUGUAGGCGGCAAGGCAAGUCAGAUGUGAAAUACACGGGCUCAACUCGUGGGCUGCAUUUGAAACUGUUUUGCUUGAGUGAGGUAGAGGUAGGCGGAAUUCCCGGUGUAGCGGUGAAAUGCGUAGAGAUCGGGAGGAACACCAGUGGCGAAGGCGGCCUACUGGGCCUUAACUGACGCUGAGGCGCGAAAGCGUGGGGAGCAAACAGGAUUAGAUACCCUGGUAGUCCACGCCGUAAACGAUGAGUGCUAAGUGUUGGGGGUCGAACCUCAGUGCUGAAGUUAACGCAUUAAGCACUCCGCCUGGGGAGUACGGUCGCAAGACUGAAACUCAAAGGAAUUGACGG
Molecule: ribosomal RNA, 914 nt
Filed under: uncultured bacterium
Lineage: Bacteria
Description: bacterial SSU rRNA
Rfam family: Bacterial small subunit ribosomal RNA
Source: RNAcentral